RNAcentral lists this ribosomal RNA (502 nucleotides) under uncultured bacterium. RNAcentral's name for it is "partial 16S ribosomal RNA". It matches the Rfam family "Bacterial small subunit ribosomal RNA", at positions 29 to 523 of the family's 1533-position model. The record is from RNAcentral.
AUUGAACGCUGGCGGAAUGCCUUACACAUGCAAGUCGAACGGCAGCACGGGUGCUUGCACCUGGUGGCGAGUGGCGAACGGGUGAGUAAUACAUCGGAACGUACCCAGUCGUGGGGGAUAACGUAGCGAAAGUUACGCUAAUACCGCAUACGUCCUGAGGGAGAAAGCGGGGGACCGUAAGGCCUCGCGCGAUUGGAGCGGCCGAUGGCGGAUCAGCUAGUUGGUGGGGUAAAGGCCUACCAAGGCGACGAUCCGUAGCGGGUCUGAGGGGACGGCCCGCCACACUGGAACUGAGUCACGGUCCAGACUCCUACGGGAGGCAGCAGUGGGGAAUUUUGGACAAUGGGCGAAAGCCUGAUCCAGCCAUUCCGCGUGAGUGAAGAAGGCCUUCGGGUUGUAAAGCUCUUUCGGCAGGGAAGAAACGGCUUGGGAUAAUACCCCGGGCUAAUGACGGUACCUGAAGAAGAAGCACCGGCUAACUACGUGCCAGCCGCCGCAGUAA